UCUGCCGGGUCACGUGGCAUUGGCAUCAGCGCCGUCGACAUGGUAACGCGGCCGGGCUUGCUAGAAGGCUUCCCCGCUGUUCAUGGUGUGACGCGAGGCGCAGGGUCACAUGGCCCGUGACGCCAGCGUCAUCACCAUAGUUACACAACAAUGCUGGAAAGAAGGCACUCCUCCCCAUCGAGGGGCGGAUUGCCAUGCCCACUAGCCCCAUCCCGCCCCCUCCAGCAGAACGAUUGUAAACAGCAGAUGGCAAUCCCAUCUGAUCAGAAUCCCUGGGAGGGGCCGAGCUACACGGCCCUCCCAGGUCAUGUCCACCCCAUAAAUAGAGCCAACAUAUGACCAGUUCUCCCAGCACCCUGCGAGCUGAAGGGAGUAACGCUGGUAUUACAAUACCCCAAUCACGGUGAGUGCCUGUUCUACCUUAUACUCAAACAAGCCUUUUUGUAACCAACCUAACCUCACUCUAGCAUGUACCUCUCCUUACCAUGCAUGCCUCAGUUUCUAUCUAUAUACGUCUGCUCCACAGGCAUUCGGCACCAGGUUCCUCUCUACAUAUAGAGCCCGGGAUUCCCCCUAGCAACUCUAAGAGGAUCGUCCGCAUUGGACUCAGUAAACCCCCUGACCUGCUGCACUUUUGCCCUAACAAGCCCUACAUUUGGGAUACCGUGUGUUUGGGAUCAAUCGGAGCCAUCCCUCCCCUUUCUCUUUUCUUACUUAUGAGACCCCAUAAGUCGGCCCUGGGGAUAUCCUAAACCGACAAGUUGAGGGUCAAUUUUCAAACCCUGGUUUACCACAAACGAGAGAGAAAAACAGCUUGUAAUCACACACUCCUGUGGCCCCUGAUGAAGGUCUGUUGCUCCAUCAAUAGACCAGAAACGCGUCGGGCAUUUCUCCACUACUCUCUACAGAGUGUUUUUUAAUCUAAUUGUAUUGUAUCUUCACGAGGUUUUAUUUGAGUACUUUCUUGUUGUUUCCUAUUUUCUCCUGGGUCCACACAUGGGACGUGUGCCCCAGGUGUCACUUUAUCACUACUUCUUAUAUGUUUUUUAUUCUUAUUAUACAUAAUUUCUGACUGUUCCAGAAGAUUUCUGUAAUCCAACAUCCAGAAUUACUCUGUAAUUAAGUGUUUACCCAUCUUGGUGCAAAUAUCUAAUAAAUUAAAAAAAAUGUAUAUAUACAUUGGAGUCUGGCCUUAAAAGUCCCAUCUGGGGGUAAUCGUUUUUCUUUCUUGUCUAAACUACCAGGGAUGUGGCCAGUCCCCACUUCCAGGAACAUAUGAACCCUUCUCC
This is a long non-coding RNA of Rana temporaria (common frog), 1289 nucleotides long. RefSeq lists it as uncharacterized. The transcript is spliced from 3 exons. The record is from RefSeq and is a predicted model, not a curated record. NCBI's taxonomy places the organism in Eukaryota, Metazoa, Chordata, Amphibia, Anura, Ranidae.